UAGGGAAUCUUCGGCAAUGGACGAAAGUCUGACCGAGCAACGCCGCGUGAGUGAAGAAGGUUUUCGGAUCGUAAAACUCUGUUGUUAGAGAAGAACAAGGACGUUAGUAACUGAACGUCCCCUGACGGUAUCUAACCAGAAAGCCACGGCUAACUACGUGCCAGCAGCCGCGGUAAUACGUAGGUGGCAAGCGUUGUCCGGAUUUAUUGGGCGUAAAGCGAGCGCAGGCGGUUUCUUAAGUCUGAUGUGAAAGCCCCCGGCUCAACCGGGGAGGGUCAUUGGAAGCGGGGAGACUUGAGUGCAGAAGAGGAGAGUGGAAUUCCAUGUGUAGCGGUGAAAUGCGUAGAUAUAUGGAGGAACACCAGUGGCGAAGGCGGCUCUCUGGUCUGUAACUGACGCUGAGGCUCGAAAGCGUGGGGAGCAAACAGG
RNAcentral lists this ribosomal RNA (429 nucleotides) under Gemmatimonadota bacterium. Its description in RNAcentral is "Gemmatimonadetes bacterium partial 16S ribosomal RNA". It matches the Rfam family "Bacterial small subunit ribosomal RNA", at positions 355 to 776 of the family's 1533-position model. Lineage: Bacteria; Pseudomonadati; Gemmatimonadota. The record is from RNAcentral.